Molecule: ribosomal RNA, 635 nt
Filed under: uncultured bacterium
Lineage: Bacteria
Description: bacterial SSU rRNA
Rfam family: Bacterial small subunit ribosomal RNA
Source: RNAcentral
AGAGUUUGAUCCUGGCUCAGAACGAACGCUGGCGGCAGGCCUAACACAUGCAAGUCGAGCGCCCGCAAGGGAGCGGCAGACGGGUGAGUAACGCGUGGGAACGUGCCCUUUGGUUCGGAAUAUUCCCGGGAAACUGGGAGCAAAACCGGAUAAGCCCUUCGGGGGAAAGUUUACGCCAAAGGAUCGGCCCGCGUUAGAUUAGGUAGUUGGUGGGGUAACGGCCUACCAAGCCUACGAUCUAUAGCUGAUCUGAGAGGAUGAUCAGCCACACUGGGACUGAGACACGGCCCAGACUCCUACGGGAGGCAGCAGUGGGGAAUCUUGGACAAUGGGCGCAAGCCUGAUCCAGCCAUGCCGCGUGGAUGACUGAAGGCCCUAGGGUUGUAAAGUCCUUUCGACGGGGACGAUAAUGACGGUACCCGUAGAAGAAGCCCCGGCUAACUUCGUGCCAGCAGCCGCGGUAAUACGAAGGGGGCUAGCGUUGUUCGGAUUUACUGGGCGUAAAGGGCGCGUAGGCGGAUUUUUAAGUCGGGGGUGAAAUCCCGGAGCUCAACUCCGGAACUGCCUUCGAUACUGAAAGUCUGGAGCACGGUAGAGGUGAGUGGAAUUCCGAGUGUAGCGGUGAAAUGCGUAGA